GAACUUAACUAUUUGAGUGAUCUCGAAAUGAAGAAGCUUGAUCUCCGCAUGCGUGAAUUGGAGCUUGGUGUUGCUUCUCAAGUUUCGUCUAGAUCUUCAAACUUUGAUGUAAGCAGAAACAUUCGCUUAGUUCCUCCGUUUAAUGAAAAGGAUGUUGACAAUUAUUUAUUAUUUAUUAAGAAUGUCUUUGUGGAUCGUCCUUUUUGGAAUGUUGGUCAGCUGAUUCCUACUGGGAAGGAUAGGCACAGUGAAGUUGUUGAGGGGGGCAGAAAUGUUGGUCCCUUGGAGGUUGAUGUUGAGGCUGAGGAUGAUUUGAAGGUAAAAGACAUCAUGUGCUUUUAUUGUAAAAAAAAAAAAAAAAGGAGGACAUAUUGUGGCAGGCUGUCCUGUGUUGAAAAAGGAAAGUGUGAAGCCUGUAGCUUUAGUAAACAAACUUGAUAAAAAUUUAAAUGAACCUGUGUUGUCUAAAGACAUGUCUAUUGACCUGACUGUAUUUACUCCAUUUGUUAUGGAUGGUGUUGUCUCGUUGCCUGGUAACAAACUUAAAGUGCCGGUAAAGUUUUGCCAUUCGGUAAUGAGUCUGCUGUGGGUUCUGACGUUCCUGUGUUGGGUUUUUGUAUGGAAGACAUUGAUGUGCCUCUGCAUAGGGUCUGUGUGGAGUCUGACCUUGUGUCAGGAGAGGUGUCUGUGGGGGUGCGUCCUGGUUUCCCUAUAAAAGGGAUUGCCUUUUUGAUGGGGAAUGAUUUGUUGGUGGAAAGGUGUUGGUUAAACCUGAAGUGACGCCGAUUCCUGUUAGACAGGUUCCUGAUGAGCUUGCUCACAAGUUUCCCAAGGUUUUUACUGCAUGUGCUUUUACUCGAUCUGUGUAAACAGGAUGAAGAGUGAAAGUUUUCUUUUUAAUCCAGAUAAUGCUCACUCAUUUUCUCCAGUGAGGGCUGAGAGUAACGCCACAAGGGCAGAGCUUUCCUGAGGCUGAGCGUUUAUCCUUAUCUCGUGAACAGUUGAUUGAUGCGCAGUGCAUCUGCUGCAGAUGACUGGAGGGCUGUAACCCAAAUUGUAGUUCCAUGAGCAUAUCGAGCAGAGAUUUUGAAGCUGGCUCAUGAUAGUCCUCUUGCUGGUCACUUGGGUACUAAGAAAACGUAUAAUCAUAUUUUGCGCCAUUUCUUUUGGCCUGGGUUAAAGAGGGAUGUUUCACGUUAUUGUAAGUCUUGUCAUCUAUGUCAGGUAGUUGGGAAACCAAACCAGACCGUCCCUCCUGCUCCACUAUAUCCGAUUCCGGUGGUAUGUGAGUCAUUUGAACGGGUUCUGGUUGACUGUGUGGGCCCCCUGCCUCGUACAAAAACUGGUAAUAAGUUUUUGUUGACUGUGAUGUGUGCGUCCACUCCAUUUCCAGAAGUCUUCCCUUUACGGAAGAUCUCAACUCCAGCGGUUUUAAAGGCUUUGACAAAGUUUUUUUCAUUGUUUGCUUUGCCGAAGGUUGUACAAACAGAUCAGGGUUCAAACUUUGUCGCGUGUGUUUGCUCAGGUGCUGAAGCAGUUAAAUAUUAAACACUGUCACUCUAGUGCAUACCAUCCGGAGAGUCAGGGCGCACUUGAGCGUUUUCACCAGACAUUAAAAAACCAUGUUGUGUACUUACUGCCUGGAGUUCAAGAAAGAUUGGGAUGAAGGAGUUCACAUGCAGAUGUUUGCUGUAAGGGAGGUGGUUCAGGAAUCUUUGAGGUUUAGUCCAUCGGAGUUAGUAUUUGCCCAUACUGUGCGUGGGCCAUUGAAGUUAUUUAAAGAGAAGUGGCUGUAAGAGGGGACAGAACAAAACUUGUUGGACUAUGUGAGUAACUUCAGAUUUAAAUUACGCAGAGCUUGUGAGAUAGCUGGGGAUCAUCUUGAAGCAGGGCAGGAUGAAGGUGUGGUUUGAUAAAUGUGCUCAAAAUAGAGAAUUUCUGCCUGGGGAUAAGGUUUUAGUGUUGCCGGUUCCUGGGUCUAGUUUGCAGGCUCGCUACAGUGGGCCUUAUGUGGUUCAGAAGAAGGUUGGCGAUAGAGACUACCUGAUAGCCACUCCUGAUCGCUGCCGUAGAUCUCGUCUGUCAUGUUAAUAUGCUGAAGUCUUACUGUGACGGGCAACAGAUGCAGCCGGACGUGGGGUCCAGUUCUGGUGCAGGGGAGGGUGCUGUGAUUAUUGGGGAGGUGUCCAGUAUUGACGCUGGUGCACAUCCUGUGUGUUCGGUGACGGGUGUAGUCUCAGGUGUCUUAGGUUUGGGUGACGAGGGGAGAAACUGAUAAGAGGGGGCUUGGCGCUUGGCGCUUGGCGCUUGGCUCUCGCUCUGGUCCACCUUCCAGCCAUGGCAGCAGCAGCACCUCCGAGACUGCGACUAAUUUGUAUUUCCUUGAUUAUUGUUCUUAUAUUUCUGAUAGGACUGGUAGUUUAGUUAUCGCGGCUUUAUUUCUGUUUGUUUAGUUAGGGAUUAGUUUAGGGUAGAGGGGGGCUUCCCUUUCUUUUGUUUGUUUUGGCCAGCCCAUCAGAUUUGUUGUUUUGUUUAAGUUAAAUUUUGAACUUAUUUCAUGUUUAUUUCAAUAAACUUAUGUUUGCAUUACUCCUGGACUCUUCGGUUAUGUUCAACCCCCUCUUAUAACGAGCUUUGGUGGGGGGGGGGACAACAAAUAUUAGCUUAUGGGUCCAGUAGUAUGUGUAUAUAACACAUUUAGUAUUUCUUAGCUCACACUAAAAACUUGUUAACACAUUAUAUAUACCUUUAUAAAUAAUUAAUUAAUUAGGUGUUAACAUUAAUGAGACUUAAUGUGUGUUAGAAAUGUCAUAAAACAAAUUUAUUAUUGGCUUGCAAGAUAUUUAUGUGCACUUAUUAGCAUCUUGUUAACAGUUUAUAGACCACUUAUUAAUAAGUUGAUAUUACUCACUCCUUUGCAGCUACUGGAACUAAAGUGGAAACAGCGUCUUAUUAAGAUUCCUACUCUGACUCCACCCUGUGCUACAGCACUGAAAUUUUUCAAACUUCUGUUUGAGUGGAAGUUUAACAGGAGUUUCUUUUUGUUUCUGUGUUUAAUUGAAAGUUAUGAAAUGUAAACAAUCAAAUAAAAAAAACUUCCAAAUCCUUCUUUUAAUUAUUUUAUAAACAUUUACUCAUCUUAAUAACUGUUCCCACUUUUGCUGCAAAGGAACAAUGUUGAUUGUUUGUAAAUGCAUAAUGAAGGAUUUAUUAGCCUUUAUAAGGCAGUAAUAUAAACCUAUUAUAGUCUGAUUACUCUCAUUAAACAUCCUAUUACCACCACCAUAUAUGUGUGUGUAUGUAUGUAUAUAUGUAUAUAUAUAUAUAUACAUAUAUAUAUAUAUAUAUAUAUAUAUAUGUAACGGCUGAAACGGCAGCAUUAAAAUACUCUUACAUGUAUUUGUUAGUGACACAGAGUAAUAUAAUAUUCUAUUAUAAUAUAACUCUGUGAAAGAAGGCGUUCUGCAUAAUGAGUACUUUUACUUUGACACUUUAAGUACAUUUAGCUGAUAAUGCUAAUGUUAAUACAGUAUUUUUGUCCAGCUCUGCUGCUCCUCUACAUAUAUGAAAGUAAUGUCAGAGUGAUGUAUGUAUUUUAGAUUCUGCAUGUUUCACUUAGUGUCUAAUAAAGCAGCAGCAUGUUA
Long non-coding RNA from Micropterus salmoides (largemouth bass), 3644 nucleotides. RefSeq lists it as uncharacterized. Lineage: Eukaryota; Metazoa; Chordata; Actinopteri; Centrarchiformes; Centrarchidae. The transcript has 2 exons. The record is from RefSeq and is a predicted model, not a curated record.